UAAACUUUGCCACCGGGUAAAGAUUUUAAGGUGUUCUGAAACAUUCCGUUAGGUCUUAGAAGGAAUGUUGUUGGGACACCUUUUAUUU
This 88-nucleotide non-coding RNA is filed under the name unclassified sequences. The record is from RNAcentral.